UAAAAGGGAGCCUUGGCCCCUCAGGUGGGGGGUGGGGGGGAAAAAUUACGCACCCUACAAACACUAUUCUUCUCCUCUCUACACUAUUUGCCCCCUCCCUGACUUGAGCGUCGGAGGGCCGGCGCCGGAAAACCCGGCCACCGGCUUGUCUGCAGGCACCCCAGACGGAGGACGCCGCCCGCCGACGGAUCGCCGCCCCACCGUGAGGACCUGCUGCUCCCUCUCUCCGACCACCCCAGACCGGAGGACGCCGUCCGCCGACCGGUCGCCGCCCCGCCGUGGUGACCUCCCGCUGCUCCCUCUCCUCGACCGAAGAUUGCCCCCGGGUCCAAUUUCCAGCAACAAAUAGAAACGGUAUUCACAUUUCCAGAAGAAAAUCUGAGAGGUGUUCUGAAAGGUUAGCUAAUUUGUAUAUCUACAUCAUUUAGUGUUGGCUACAAAAUCUGCCUGUUCAAUUCAGUGAUUUUAAUUCGUAACUACUGGUGUAUAAAUGCAUUAACAUAUGUUUUGGUGUCUAACUAACGAAUUUUCUUUGUGAUACUACGUGGAAGAAUUUUGUCUAACGAAUGUUAUCUCAGUGGCCUCCAUACAAAUAACGCUCAUUUUGACUACCUUGCUAAAGUCUCUCUCUCUC
RNAcentral lists this long non-coding RNA (634 nucleotides) under Phoenix dactylifera (date palm). Its description in RNAcentral is "long non-coding RNA (PDAC_LNC007534)". Lineage: Eukaryota; Viridiplantae; Streptophyta; Magnoliopsida; Arecales; Arecaceae. The record is from RNAcentral.